Molecule: transfer RNA, 96 nt
Filed under: Ipomoea nil (Japanese morning glory)
Lineage: Eukaryota; Viridiplantae; Streptophyta; Magnoliopsida; Solanales; Convolvulaceae
Rfam family: tRNA
About the family: Transfer RNA (tRNA) molecules are approximately 80 nucleotides in length.
Source: Rfam by way of RNAcentral
UCGGCUUUAGCUCAGUUGGUAGAGCGGAGGACUGUAGUUGGAGUACUAAUCUGUGCUAAAAUCCUUAGGUUGCUAGUUCAAAUUUGCCAGGUCGGA